This 468-nucleotide ribosomal RNA is filed under the name uncultured bacterium. RNAcentral describes it as "partial 16S ribosomal RNA". It matches the Rfam family "Bacterial small subunit ribosomal RNA", at positions 28 to 507 of the family's 1533-position model. The record is from RNAcentral.
GAUGAACGCUGGCGGCGUGCUUAACACAUGCAAGUCGAACGGUGAAGGCGGAGCUUGCUCUGCUGGAUCAGUGGCGAACGGGUGAGUAACACGUGAGCAAUCUGCCCCUGACUCGGGGAUAAGCGCUGGAAACGGCGUCUAAUACUGGAUACGAGCUGCGAAGGCAUCUUCAGCAGCUGGAAAGAACUUCGGUCAGGGAUGAGCUCGCGGCCUAUCAGCUUGUUGGUGAGGUAACGGCUCACCAAGGCGUCGACGGGUAGCCGGCCUGAGAGGGUGACCGGCCACACUGGGACUGAGACACGGCCCAGACUCCUACGGGAGGCAGCAGUGGGGAAUAUUGCACAAUGGGCGAAAGCCUGAUGCAGCAACGCCGCGUGAGGGACGACGGCCUUCGGGUUGUAAACCUCUUUUAGCAGGGAAGAAGCGAAAGUGACGGUACCUGCAGAAAAAGCGCCGGCUAACUACGUG